GGGCGCUUAGCUCAGUGGAAGAGUACUUCCUCGACACGGAAGGGGUCACUGGUUCGAACCCAGUAGCGCCCACCA
Molecule: transfer RNA, 75 nt
Filed under: Candidatus Oleimmundimicrobium sp.
Lineage: Bacteria; Bacillati; Actinomycetota; Candidatus Aquicultoria; Candidatus Subteraquimicrobiales; Candidatus Oleimmundimicrobiaceae
Description: tRNA-Val
Rfam family: tRNA
About the family: Transfer RNA (tRNA) molecules are approximately 80 nucleotides in length. Their secondary structure includes four short double-helical elements and three loops (D, anti-codon, and T loops).
Source: RNAcentral